CGGGGUGUAGCGCAGUCUGGUAGCGUAUCUGGUCCGGAGCCAGAGGGUCGGGAGUUCGAAUCUCCCCUCCCCGACCA
This 77-nucleotide transfer RNA is filed under the name Agrobacterium rubi. Its description in RNAcentral is "tRNA-Pro". It matches the Rfam family "tRNA". From Rfam's summary of the family: Transfer RNA (tRNA) molecules are approximately 80 nucleotides in length. Their secondary structure includes four short double-helical elements and three loops (D, anti-codon, and T loops). The record is from RNAcentral. Lineage: Bacteria; Pseudomonadati; Pseudomonadota; Alphaproteobacteria; Hyphomicrobiales; Rhizobiaceae.